AAAAUAAAGACAACAUUAAAGAGAACAACAAUAAAGAACCAGGUACAAAAUAAAAGGUAAAUGGUGUUCUUGGUUGGUUCGUUCCUUUCUUCUCUUCUUCUUUCGCGCUUCCACUUCAUUUCAUUGCAAAGAAGCGAGAAGAAA
This 144-nucleotide non-coding RNA is filed under the name Symbiodinium sp. CCMP2430. The record is from RNAcentral. Lineage: Eukaryota; Dinophyceae; Suessiales; Symbiodiniaceae.